This 37539-nucleotide long non-coding RNA is filed under the name Gossypium raimondii (Peruvian cotton). RNAcentral's name for it is "long non-coding RNA (GRAI_LNC005946)". Lineage: Eukaryota; Viridiplantae; Streptophyta; Magnoliopsida; Malvales; Malvaceae. The record is from RNAcentral.
UUGAAAUCUGAGCCUGUUCUGUGAUGCCGCUAGAGUUGUCAAUCUCGUGAGAUUAGAAAAAUGGGUUUCUGAUACAACUCCUUCCAAUUGGUUACACCCCAAAUCCAGAGUUUCCAAACUUUUCAGUUGUCCAAAACAUUGAGGAAAAGUACCAUUUAAUUGAUUUUCUGAAACAUCAAAGAACUUCAAAGAUGAUAACUCCCCUAUGGACAAUGGAAUGGGACCAGAAAUAUUGUUUCCAGCAAGCGACAAGUGAGCUAGGUUUUUAAAGUGCCCAAGUUGAUCAAUUAAAUGGCCAAAAAGAUGGUUAUGUGCCAUAUCCAAUGACUCUAAGCAAUCCAAACAACAUCUAGACAGACUCAGAAGUAUUUCUGAUACGUCUUGAUCAAUUUCAUUGCUCGAAAGAUUAAGGAAUUGAAGAUGAUUUAAACUAAACAAAGAGUUGGGUGUGGAUGAAUUGAGUGAGUUCCCACUAAGAUCAAGAACUUCAAGAAAUGAGAUGUUCCUAAAGUAAUCCGGAAUUGGGCCUUCCAAAGAAUUGCUACUAAGAUCAAUGGACAGAAGACCUUGAAGACCAAAUAUGGACGUAGGUACUGAAGAAAAGCUGUUCUCAGAAAGAUCAAGAACAACAAGUGAUUUUGUAGAAUUGACAUUGAUCGGGGAUGGAUCAUCUUCCAAACUGCAAGCUGACAAGUGCAACUCUAACAAUGAAGGGUGUUGGAAUGUUACCAGUAGCCAAUCAGUUGCUUUACGAAGAUCCGCAUAACUCAAAUCAAGGUACUGCAAGAAAGAAAGUCCAGAAACCCAUUGAAGACUUUUUGGUUUGAGAUAAUUACCUCCAAGAUCAAGAUACUGCAACUUUGAGAGAUUCCCAAGGUUAUGAGGAAUUCCUCCCUGGAAUUGUGCAUGAGAGAGGUUAAGAUAUGUUAAACUCCCCAGCCUACCCAAAAAUUUCGGGAUGUUGCUACGAAAAUUGUUAUUGCUCAAGUCCAGGGAACUGAGAUGCUUCAACUCCAGCAAUGAAGAAUUUAUUUUCCCUCUUAGCGAGGAAUUGUUCUUUGAUCGAUGGUAAGCUUCCCAUUCAGUAACUGGUGCAUCAAAAUGGGGCACUGAAAGAGGAGCAGCCAAGUGCAGUUGGUUGAUAUGGCCUGUUGAGUUAUGGCACACGACACCGAGCCAUUUACAGCAAUCCCCACCUUCGACCCAAGAAGCAAACCUGUUUGAAGGGUCAACGAGAUCAUUCUUGAACUUCAGAAGGGCAUUUCUCUCACUUUCAAUGCAAAGCACAUUGGAAUUGGCAUCACAAAAGCUAAAACAGAUAGCUACAAUGGCAAGAAGAAAUGGGAAUAAGGUAAUUGCAACACUUUCCAUGGUUGCGAUGGUACCAACCAUUGCUUGCAACUCCAAAUAUAUAGAGUAAGCUUAGCCAAAACAAAAAUAUUGUGCACAUAAAUGAAGCACAAAGAAGUUUCUUCCAAAUUUCCACAAAAUGUAUUUAAUUGAUAAUAGUCUAUCAGAAAUUUCCAGUAAUUUAACAUUAUUUUAUUUUACAUCUCACAUCAAUACAUAAUUUAACAAAAUUAUAGUCAGUAAUUGCUUUGAAAGUUGUACAGCAAUGGAAGAGAUCGAUGGGUUUGACUUUGGAGAUAGGAAGGAAAUUUCUUUUUUGACCCAAGCAAAAAAUAAAUGGAAUUUAUGUUCAAUUGCUAUAUAAUUAUAUAAUACACGUGUUGAUAAAUAAUUGGAGAGGCACAAUAAGAGACAAAAGGAUUGAGGAAUUUGCUGACUUUAGGGCUCUUACUUACUAUCCUUUUAUUAAUAAAAUUUUAUUUUGGCUUAGAAAAAAAUAGGAUCGAAAGUUUGUAAAUAUACAUUUUCACACACUUGAAUAUAUAGAAAUAUCGAAAAAUAUGUAAAAAAUAAAAAUUAAUAAGAGUUAUAAAAUUUAUUAAAUUUUAAUAAAAUAAUAUAAAAACAUUUAAAAUUAGAAAAAAGUUAUAAAAAGCAUAAAAAUUAUAAAAAAUUGUAAAAAUUAUAAAAAUUAUAAAAUAUAUAGAAAUAUAGAAAAAAAUUAUAAAUUUUCAUAAAUUCAAUAAGAAAAUUAUGAAAAAAAUGUAAAGAAAUAUAAAAUUCAUUAAAAAAUUAUUGUACCACAAGAAACAUUUUAUAAUUUUUCUAUAACUUUUUAUUAUUUUUUAUUUUUUUAUCAUUUUUCGUCAUAUGUCACGUUGUGUUGCUAUACUGAUGGCUUUAAUUGAAAAAAAUCGGGGAUCAUUAACUUUAAUGGUCAACAGUUAAAACUAAUGGUUAAAGGACCUUUUUUAUGAUUUUUAUAAAAUUUUACAAUUUCUUUUAUGAUUUUUAUAUUUUUUUUUUCUAAUUUUUAAUAAAUUUAUGGUUUCUAGUUACUGUUAAAGUUAAUUGUUUCUAGUCUUGCUUCCUUGCAUAACCUCGAUUUGAGUUAUGCGGAUCUUCGUAAAGCAAUUGACUGGCUACAGGUAACAUUCAAACAUCCUUCAUUUUUAGAGUUGCACUUGUCAGCUUGCCGUUUGGAAGAUGAUCCACCCCCUAUCAGUGUUAAUUCUACAAAAUCACUAGUUGUUCUUGAUCUUUCUAGGAACCAAUUAUCUUCAUUACGCAAGUCGAUAUUUUGCCUCCAUGGUCUUGUGUCCAUUGUUCUUGAAUUGGUAGGCCCAAUUCUUAUUUUAGAAAGUACAUCCUAGAACUCCUCUAUUUUUCUGACUUGGAAUUGUAUUUUUACUAGAUUUUGGGCUGCGUCUUGCUGUGGCUUUUUCUAAACAUAUUUGAAACAGAAACAUAUAAAUAUGAAUGGUGGUUGAAAUUGAAAGAAAUUUAUGCAAUGAUAAGUGCAAAAGUAAGUACUUAAGUAGAAUAAAUUAGGAUUUAUUUAUUUAUGACACUCAUAGCAUAUCAUACAUUAACCCUGAAUGGAUGAUGAACUGCAUAUGCGUGAAUUAUAUACUUCGAUGUAAGUAAAAUCUUGAAUUUUAAUAGAUAAGCAACUAAAAGUUGAUGAGUUGGGUAUACAACUUUUGCAUGAUGUAACAUCAUUCCACAAUAGUAGAUUUUAUAGCCCAAAAAUGAUAUCCUCUCAUCGACACUACAUGAUAGAUGAAAAGUAACAUGGUCACGAGUCAUUUGCCUUAGUAACAAAUUAAAUGCAUUAAUUACUAUUUGUUAGUAAUUGUCUUUUCAUGAAAGAAGAUGAAAUAAUUACAAUGAGAUAAAAUAUGAUCAUAUUAGAGGAAUGAAUUUAUACUAAAAAGAUUAAGCAUAUCCUACGAGGGUAAAAUACUUAUAACUAGGUUAUUAGACCAUACUUAACGAGUAGCUUUCGUAAUGAUAUAAUAAUGAAUAACUCAAUCAUGAUAUUUUAGUGAAAUACUUUAUGACUAAAUAAUAUUGUAAUUAAUAGGCGAAGUGCUGGAAGAUCAAGUUGAAGCUCUUGAGAUUAGAGUUGACAAUCAGUCAACUGUUGCCAUAGCAAAAAAUCCAGUACUUCAUGGCAAAACCAAGCAUUUUAAGAUUAAAUUUCAUUUUGUUAGAGAGGUUGAACAAUCAAAUUAAGGAAGUUAAUUUGAUUCAUUGCAGCUCAAAAAAUCAGCUCUGAUAUUUUAACUAAGUCUCUCGGUGAUACAAGAUUUGAAAACUUAAGAAAAAGUAUUGGUGUUUGUUGCAUACAGUCCAAGGAGGAGUGUUGAACUUUGGCCUGCAAUGCAACAGCAGAGAAGCAUUGAAGCUCAACCAGUACAGCAGCAACAUUUUGUACAUAUGUAACUAGCUUUAUUUCUUUUGUAAUUUGUCUUUAAAGUUAGUAAGAUUAGUUGCUGAUUUGAAUGAUGUUCAAUAUGAUGUAAUAGCUGAUAUGUCAGCUAGAUUUUGUGUGUAGUUUAAGCUAUGUUUUAGUCAAGUAAUUAGUGGAAGCAGGUAACUGCCUUGUAACAUAUAUGUUUCAACUUAAUAAAAAUACGUGUGAUCAGUUUUUUAGUCGUCUUCUUGUUCAAAUUUCUUUUCAUCCGUUUCUUUGCUUUUUUUCUCCUUUAUUUUUCUGUUAAUACACCAACAAAGAUCAAUGGACACAAGACCCUGAAGACCAAAUAUCGACAUAGGUACUGAAGAAAAGUUGUUCUCAGAGAGACCAAGAACAACCCGUGAUUUUGUAGAAUUGACACCCAUCGGGGAUGGAUCAUCUUCCAAACUGCAAGCUGACAAUUGCAACUCUAACAAUGAAGGAUGUUUGAAUGCUACCUGUAGCCAAUCAGUGGCUUUACGAAGAUCCGCAUAACUCAAAUCAAGGUAAUGCAAGGAAGAAAGUCUAGAAAUCUAUUCAAGACUUGUAGCUUCGAUAUCCUACCAGUUAUUACUUCGAAGAUCAAGAUACUGCAACUUUGAAAGAUUCCCCAGGUUAUGAGGAAUUGCUCCCUGGAAUUGCUCUCGAGAGAGGUUAAGAUAUGUUAAACUUCCCAACAAACCGAAAAAUUUUGGGAUCUGUAUGCUGCUGAAAUUGUUAUUGCUGAAGUCCAGGGAACCGAGAUGCUUCAACUCCAGCAGUGAAGGAUUUAUUUUGCCUCGUAGUUUUGACCGCUCGUAAGCUUCCCAUUCAGCUGGUGGUGCAUCAAAAUCAGGGGCUGAAAGAGCAGCAGCAGCCAAGUGCAGUUGGUUAACGUGGCCUGUUGAGUUAUGGCAGACGACACCGAUCCAUUUACAGAAAUCUCCACCUUCAACCCAUGAAGAUAGCUUGUUUGAAGGAUCAAUGAGAUCAUUCUUCAACUUCAAAAGACCUUCUCCCUCACUUUUAAUGCAAAGCACGUUGGAGUUGGCAUGACAAAAGCUAAAACAGAUGGCUGCAACAACAAAAAGAAAUGGGAAUAAGGAAAUUGAAACAGGAGUUGUCAUAGUUGCAAUUGCUUAGUACCGACCAUUGCUAUCAACUCCGAAUAUAUAGAUCAGUAAGCUUUAGCUAAAACAAGAAAUGCAUUUAAGUGAUAAUAGUCUAUCGGAAGUUUCCUUUCACUGGAAGUAAGGCGAAACAGAAAAAUAUUGUCCAUCGGGCACAUGGAACUUUCUUCCAAGGUCCAAAGUUUCCAAAGUUGAAUUUUCUACACGAAGCUUUUAUAGUCUUUUGAAUUUCUUGUUAUACAACUCAGAUUCGAAGUUAAGCUAUUCCCAAAGAAGGUAAACACCCUACCAAUAAACUACCGCUUGAGAUUCAAUCUGUUAAUUAUUUCUUUGCAUUAAAAUUUUGGCCAGCUCAUGUUUUAACAAUAUAUAUUUAAAUCUAUUUAUUAAAAUGUAAUUAAGCUAUUUAACAUAAAUUUUGCAGGUUUGUUAAAGCAAUGGUGGCUUACCUGCGCCGCUUCUUUUCUUUGGUUCAUUUGGUUGGCUCGCAACGAGCUCGUGUUCAAUAAGAAGAGAUUAUCGAUUGAUGAAAUUAUGUUUCUUGCUAAUCUUCACUCUUUUUAUUGGGUAAAAACAUCCAAGGAAGGGUGUGUUGUGAUUGAAUCCCAAUGGUGGCCGAAUCCAAGAUGUGUUGUGAUUGAAUCCCAAUGGUGGUCGAAUCCAAGAUUGUGUGUGCCGUGUUCGAAGGGGUUGGGACCUAGAUUGGGGAUUGUAUGGCAUGCUCCUCCUUGUGGCGUUAUCAAGUUUACCGUCGAUGGAGCAGCGCGUGGAAAAUCGGGGCCUGCUUGUUGUGGAGGGGUUCUAUACGUGAUCACAGUGGUAAGAUUUUAGUAAUUUUUUCAGGGCUUUUGUGUAUUUUGGAGUCGAAAGAAGCUGAAUUGAGGCCAAUUAUAUUGGCUCUUGAAAAUGCACAAAAAACUCAUUGUGGAAUCAGAUUCUAAGGUGGUGAUUUUGUGGUGUACAAGUACUAAAAGAGACCAUGCAAAUAUUGAGAUUGUUUUAAAUUGAUAGAAAAAUUUUGUACGAGUUUGAAUGUAAUUGUUUUUUGCAUGUUUUUAGGGAGGCUAAUAGUUGAGCGAAUGCGCUAGUUAAAGGAGGUGUCGAUAGAUAAUCAAUUGUUCCGUGUGUUUGCACUUACUAGUGUUAAUAAAAUUGAUUUUGCUAAUCAAAAAAGAGAAAGAGAGAAAGUAGGAUUCGAGAGAAAAACAAUAUAUCUAAGCUUAAAAAUGAGCCAAGGAGAAUUUUUCGCAAACAUUCUUUCUUGGUUGGUAGCUACAUUACUGGAGCUAAUUCAAAGGCAUUAAAGGUGCUAAAUCAAAAGGAAGUAUAUGUUGUGACAAGGAAGAAAAAGGGAUAAAGAUAGCCUUCCUUAUGCGUAGGUCUGAGGCAUUAGCUAUCUUUUCUUCAACCCCAAACUUGUUGAAGGUGUGGGAUCGUUGUUCCACCUGUAGUUCCUUCCCUUUCUUCGCCAAUUCCUCCUCCUUCCGGUCUAGAGUUUCUUGGGCUAAAUCUCGCUCAGUUGUGUACUUUUCAGCCUGAUCGCAUAGGUAAUCCAAUAUAUAGAUAGCAUGGUACCGACCAUUGCUAGCAACUGGGAAUAUAUAAAGUUAGCCGAAACAAGAAAAUAUUGUUCACAUACAUUGGACCCAUAUUUCCAGAAAAGAAAAAGGCAUUUAAUUGAUAGGCUGAUGGAAAUUUCGUUUCAAGACAAGUUUCUAAUUAAUUGCAUUUAAAAUUUGGGGCCACAUAUUUUGACUAUAUACACCUUACCCUGUUUAGUAUUUAUGAAAAGAACAAAAAACAUAAAACCAUCAAAGGAAAAAACUCAUAUUAACAAUUAAAUAUAUAAAAUCACAGAUGUAAUAUGAAUUUCAAUUGAAGAAAUAAUCUCCAUUUUCAUUUUAAACUUUUCCAACAAAAAUCGAGCUUUCAAACAGGGGUGAUGGCAGAUCAAUUUUUUAGGGGUACCAGAUGAAAUUUUAAUUUUUUAUAGUCUAUAUCUUUAUAAUUUUUAAAGAAUUAAAUAGAAUUUUUAUAAUUUUAAGGGGGCCAAAGUAUAGUUUUACAUUUACUAAUUUAAAUUUUUUUAAAAAAUUUAAAGGCUUAAAUAGAAAUUUUACAUUUUAGGGGGGUCGGGGCCACUGCCAGCCCCCCCUAGAUUCGCCAUUGCUUCCGAAGAAGAAGAGAAAUAAAGUUGAGAGCCAAUUUGGAAAGGAAAAAGAUUUAAUAGAAAAUUUUUAAUAUGAUUUUUUAAAUUUAAAAAGUAUAAGGACUUAUUUCCUAAAUAUACAAAUUUAGAACAUUUUAACCUACAAAUUUUAACAUUAUACUUUGACCUAAAAACUAAUCAAUCCAAUGUAAAACAUGAAUAGAAAACCAUACUACUAAUAAAGUAGUCUUCUAAUACAGCCAAUCAUUUUCUGUUUUCUCUUUAUAAUUUUAUUUUUAAAAAUAAAUAAUUGUAAAAAAUGACUUACAAAUUCUUCAAAGUAGAGUGUUGUAAUAAAGCCAACAAUUUACUCUUAUUUUUUAUUUUUAGAGUUAAGAUUAAAGUUUACUUUAAUGGAAUCGGAUUCAAAUGAAGACUUAGUACAGGAACCAAGGUGAAGGGUUUGAUGGAAGUUAAAUUAUUGGAUCAAAACAGAUGGUUUGACCUGAAGUUUUUUUGGGAAUUUCAGUGAAUAGUGAAAGAUUCAAGCUUUCACAACAAAGAAAAAUAUAACAGCUCUGGGUUCUUAUUAGCUUAUCCUUCUAACAGGAUGACAAGUUAAAAGGGUAGUCCAAAGCUACCCUAUAAAAUAUAUCUUCGUUAGGUAAGUGACAGAACGUUGGUAUAGAAUAUAAUAAACAUUCAUCAUUUAGGAUAUAGGAUCUAUUUAAAAUUUAAGAAUAUUAUAGUAUAUUUCAAUUUUAUUAUUUUUAAAUUUUGUAAAAUUAGGUUAACAAGUGCCCAAGGUUGUCACCGCUGUAUAAGGGACAUGAACCUCUUUCAGAGCAUGGUGCAUAAGGUGAAUACCAGACUGAUGCAAUAUCCAUAUUUCAUAAAUAAUUCCAAGAAUUAAUUCAAAACAAGACCUCUAUGGUUUAAGAAUAAAUUCAAAUUAACUAAGUCAUUCGUUGCAUAUUGGGGUAGUCCAAAAUCAAAGUGAUAUGGGGUAACAUAAAUCUAAGAUAAUGAAUAGAUGAGGGAAAAAAUUGUUUUGGAUUAAUUAUAGAGAGUUCCCUAAGUUUUCAUCAGAAGUCAAAAGAAAGUGUCAUGUGUCAUGUGUCAUUAUUCAAUUGGCUAAUAUGUCACAUAAACAAUCCAUUAGUGGAUUAAUGAAAUUUUUAACGGUAAUGACUAAUUCGAACAAUUAUUUUAAUUAGAGUGACUAAAUUGAGAAAAAAAUUUAAAGUGAUCAAAGUAGGACAAACCCUAUUUUAGAAUGACCUUAGGUGUAGUUUACCUUAAUAAUUUUAUGUAUGUAUAAAAUUACUAAUUUUGUUUUGAGAGAAAAGAAAUUCAUUUAUGAGAAAGUAACAAAAUAAAAGCGAACACAAAGAGGAGAGAGACUACUAAGCCCGAGCCAAUAGGCUCACCCCAUACACCCAAACCUAUUGUCCGCAAUCCUCAUUCAUAUCAACAUAAGACAUAAUUUCAACAUUCUUCAAAAUAGAUACAAGCGGAAAAGCAUCCCAUUACGUGUGGGUUGCAUAUAACAAAGACGCUUAGACAAGUGAGUGGACUGCCUUAUUAGCACAUUGAUGAGUCCAAAAAAAAAAAAAGACAGACGCUAAAACUAAUCUUUCAACACUAGAUGAUCAUGUAGCAGCACACCUAGCUUAUAUGCAUCAAUUAUACAUGUUUUUUUUUCCGUUAAACUACAUACCCAUAGUAGCCCAAAACACAUACAGCUUACCACAGAUUUGGUCCAGCUUUUGAUAGUAUGCAAUCCUCCAAGACCUAAUAAAAAACAAGGGAGCCACUACACUCCAAAAUCCCAAUACAAAGCCAAAAACAAUGCUGACAUAAAGCCAAUUCACUUUACGUCCUUUAUUUCCAACAUCAGUUGGAAUAUUUUUUGAGGUGCAGUUCUUAGUGAGAGGAGGUCCGCAAAGAUGAUUGCCCACAUAAGACAAGUUUUCAAAACUUUGAAGCUGAGUGCUUGUUGGGAUAUGUCCUGUCAAGUUGUUGUAGGACACAUUGAAGUGAUUUAAGAAAUUCAAAUUGGAGAAACUUGGAGGGAUUUCACCAUUUAGUCGAUUCAUGGACAAAUCAAGAGAUUCCAUUAACUCCAUAUUGCCAAUGUUGUCUGGUAUAUUUCCUGUUAGGAGAUUCCCUGAAAAAUUUAAAGAUAAUAGUCCAACGAGACUACCAAUUUCUUUGGGGAUCUCUCCUCUAAGACGAUUAGCUGAAAGGUCCAAGCUAGUAACAAGUCCUAGUGUGCUACCAUAUUCACCCUCUCGUCCUUUCAACACCAACAAUGCUUUCAAAUAAAAUGAGUAAUCAAUGAAAUACGGUGUAGAAAGUUCAUUAUUGGUUUCGUUUUUUGUGGCCAUUUCACUUAAAUUACUGAAACAUUUUGGAAUAACUCCUGAAAUGUUGUUGUGGCCAAAGUCCAAGUUUUGAAGAAAUUGAAGAUCACAAAUUUUGCGAGGAAUAUAACCAUCAAAGUUGUUUGAUCGAAGGCUUAGAACCACAAGGUUCGAGAGCUUAUCACCAAUCCAUGUUGGUACACUUCCACUGAAAUGAUUUUCACUAAGAUCAAGCAUAACUAAACUCCAAGAAUUUCUCAACGUGGAGGGUAAUUCUCCAAACAUGCUAUUGUUUCGAAGGUUUAACAUACAAGGAUUUGUAUAUCCCAAAGUAGGUGGGAUUUUUCCUGUCAAAUUGUUGUUUCCUAAAUUUAAAUAAGCUAAAUUUUCCCAAUGAUUCCAACAAUCUGGAAUUUCUCCAAUGAGUAGAUUUAUAUCGAUGUAAAGAGCUACCAUCUCCUUUAAUGAUGGAUUACAAAUUAAUUCAGAAAGGGAUCCUGAAAAUGAAUUAUUUGACAAAAAUAAAUAUCUUAAAGUUGAGAGUACUCUUGGCAAUGGACCUGUAAAGCGGUUGGAACUCAAGUCAAUAGAGUUUGUUACAUUCAAAUAUGAAAUCCCUCCAGUAAGUUGAUUAUAGGAAAGAUUUAAAUAUUCAAAUUGAGUGGGAAGAUUCACAAACCAAGUGGGCAUGACGUCUGAAAUUCCUACAUGGGAGAUAUCCAAAGAAGACAAUUCUUUUUGGAAUUUUAACCACAGGGGAAACUUUGAGCCAAGAUGCCAGUGACCCAAUUCAAUAAUUUGACAUUGAAAUGGGGGAAUCCAACUUGAGUUUGGUUCAAAUCUAAGCCUAUUGUGUGACGCCUUUAGAGUUGUCAAUCUCGUGAGUUCAGAAAAAUGGGUUUCUAUAACAACUCCUUCCAAUAGAUUAUACCCAAAAUCUAGAGUUUCCAAACUUUCCAAUUGUCCAAAACAUAGAGGAAAAGUACCAUUUAAUUGAUUUUCUGAAAGAUCAAAGUAUUUCAAAGAUGAUAACUCCCCUAUCGAUGAUGGAAUGGGACCAGAAAUGUUGUUUUGAGCAAGGGACAAGUAAGAUAGAUUUUUAAAUUGUCCAAGUUGAUAAGUUAAAUGACCAGAAAGUUGGUUAUCUGCCAUAUUUAAUGACUAUAAGGAACCCAAACAACAUCUAGACAAACUCUGUAGGAUUUCUGAUAUGUCUUGCUGAAUUUUAUUACUAGAAAGAUGAAGAAAUCGAAGAUGGUUUAAACAAAACAAGGAGUUGGGUAUGGAUGAAUUGAGUGAGUUCUGAUGAAGAUCAAGAACUUCAAGAAACGAGAUGUUCCCAAAGUAAUCAGGAAUUCGUCCAUCCAAAGAAUUGAAUCUAAGAUCAAUGGACACAAGACCAUGAAGACUAAAUAUUGACUUAGGUACUGAAGAUAAGCUGUUCCAAGAAAGAUCAAGAACAGCCAGUGAUUUUGAAGAAUUAACACUGAUCAAAUGUGGAUCAUCUUCCAAAAUGCAAGCUGACAAGUGCAACUCUAGCAGAGAAGGAUGUUUAAAUGUUACCUGUAGCCAAUCAGUUGCUUUAGAGAGAUUCGCGUAGCUCAAAUCAAGGUACUGCAAGGAAGAAAGUCCAGAAACCCAUUGAAGACUUUCUGAUAUGAGAUCAUUACCUCGAAGAUCAAGAUACUGCAACUUUGAAAGAUUCCCCAGGUUAUGAGGAAUUGCUCCCUGAAAUUGUGCUCGAGAGAGGUUAAGAUAUGUUAAACUCUCCAGCAAACCGAAUAAUUUCGGGAUAUGUAUGCUGCUAAAAUUAUUAUUGCUCAAGUCCAGGGUACUGAGAUGGUUCAACUCCAGCAGUGAAGGAUUUAUUUUGCCUCCUAGGGCUGACUGCUCGUAAGGUGAAAGAGGAGCAGCCAAGUGCAGUUGGUGGACGUGGCCCGUUAAGUUAAGGCAGACGACACCAAUCCCCUCCUUCAACCCAAGAAGAUAACCUGUUUGAAGGAUCAAUAAGAUGAUUCUUGAAUUUCAAAAGAGCUUCUCUCUCACUUGGAACGCAAAGUAGGUUGGAAUUGGCAUGACAAAUGGUAAAAAAGAUAGCGGGAACGAGAAGAAGAAAAGGGAAAAAGGAAAUUGGAAGAGCAGUAGUCAUGGUUGCAAUUGCCAUUGCUCACAACUCCAAAUAUAUACUAAGAUUAGCUAAAACACAAAAAUACAUGAAGCGCAAGGAAGUUUCUUCCAACAAAAUGCAUUUAAUUGAUAAUAGUCUGUCGGAAAUUUGCUAUCAAGGGAAAUUUCUAAUUAAUUGCAUUUAAUUGUCCAUAAAAUGUAAUAUGAAUUCUAUUAUUAAAUUAAAGAAAUGUAUGCUAUCAAGGAAGUUUUUUACAAUACCCUAAAAGUCUAUGAAGAAAGUCCCACUCCCACUUUCUUUAAGACUUUUUAGGUCUUAAAAGCUAAAGGAUUAAAAAAAAAAUAGUUUCCAAGUUUCGUGUUGAUUAUUUAUUUAUAUCAAAUUAUAAAGUAUAAUUUUUGAAGAAGGUUAAAAUAUGCUUUUAAGUUACUAUACACUUUUAUAUAUUUAGACUUUAAUUUCGUAUUUUUAAUUUUAAGAAUUUAUUCCAUAUAUUUUAAUUUUAAAAUUUAGGUGCAAUAGUUAUUAACAUUAAAAUUAUUCUAUUAAAUAUUCACUUGGGAGUCCUAUAACAAUAAAAUUAAUAUUAAAAAUUCUAAUUAAUUUUUUUCAUAAAAACACUUAUUCAAACUCAACUUAGUUUAUGGAAUAAAUCUCACUCCCAUGGUUUACUUGCUACUUAAAAAAAAUUGAUACAUCAAACUAGCUCUCGAAGCAUUUUUCAUUUAAGAAAAAUCUACGUUAAACUUGAUAACGCCACAAGGGAAGCGUGUCGUACAAUUCAAAGGUUAUCUGGUUGACACUUAUCCAUUACUUUCAUUUAUAUCCUUAACAAAAUAAUGGCAUAGGAUGUUUGUUCAAAGGGUUAGUAAUUAAGUUCGUCUCUAAAUUAUAGUUCACUUUUAGAAAUUUUUUGAAAAUAAUUCCAAAAAAUCUAUAAAUUCAUUAUUUAUUUGAUAAAAUUUUAAUAUUUUUAAAAAUAUAAUUAUAGAAAAAUUUAAAAUUAAAAAAAAAACUCAAAAAUUACCCAAUUCAACGAGCACCCAUUGGAAAAUUUACAUUAUGUUUUAUAUUAUAUUAGUAUCUUCAAACCAAUUAUAUGUUACAAAAUUAUAAUUAAAAAUAUUUUUUAUAAAAUUAAAAAGUGAGAAUAUUUUUAGUAUGAUUAUAGGUGUCUUUAUUCAUUUUAAAACUAGAGUGUAACAUCCCGAAAUAAGGCCUAGGAGUUUGGGCCAACAAAUCCUUAUUUUCUAUUAAGGGCUAAGAUCGAUUGGUUAACAAUUAGGGAUUGAUUUCUGAAAAGGGUAAAAGUAGGAGUACUUGAAUAGUUAUUUGUCCAAAGAGUUGAGGAAACAAUUUCCUUCCUUAAAUGAAAUAGAGUCAUGCAUGUAAGACUUCCUCUGUCAUGAGGAGACCCUUAGGUUCUAAACUACCCUAGUUACAUAUGAAUUAAACACUGCCAACAAAAGUUUUAAACCUAUAUGCAUACCAAAAUCCUACCAUUAGCCAAACCUCCAUUGAAUUGUUUCUCUAUGUUUUCUGUCAAGUUUCUGCAAAUAAAAAACCAAGCCCUUUUUUCUUAAAGGUUCAAGGUAAGACUCUGUUUCUCUAUUGGAUUAGACAUUUAUAAGUAAUUUUAGAACUUUUAAGAAAGCUUGCAACAAAAGAACUAGGUUCACCAAAUGAUUAGCAUGUGCGAACCUAAGCUUGCUUGUGUUUAUAAAUGAGUUUUAAUGUGCUUUGACUAUUAGUGACUUGUGAAUAUUUGUGAAGUUGCAAACUUGACAGAGCCGUCUACAAGCAAAGACAUGGGAAAGGCAAAGCUUGUUUAAAGCUUUCGACAAAUUGCUAAGUGUUCAGGGAUUCCCACUUGUAUGUGCGGACCAUAGUGUUAAUCAGGAGCUUAGGGUCUUAACCUAAGUUUUGAGAGUAAGUUUUCUUUAAAACUCUGUUUUAUUAUUGUGUUUGAAUAUGUGCUUUUAAGAAUAGUGAUGUGCGAGCUCUAUGCUGCAAGUUGGUUAUGAAUAGCAUUUUGUGAGCUCUUUAUGAAUUGUGAGCUCUAUGUUUAAGUAAAUGUUUUGAUAUUAUAGUUUUUGUAACCGUUUGAUAUAAUGGCAUGUCAUAGAAUUGUGAGUACUCACCUCUGUGUUUUUUGAUUUGGGGGAGAGGCAUUGGGACAAGUUAGGAGAAAUAAAGGAAUGACAAGCUAAGCUCCAUUCGUUGAGAUAUACUGGUGUGAUGGAAAGUGUUAGCUUAACACUACAUUUAUCAGAUAUGUCAAAAUCUUUUAGUCAAAGAGGGGAGUCAUAAAGAGAUUCACUUAUCCAAUAGAAAAAAAUAAGUGAAUGAGAUAGUAUUGUUUUUCAAAAUAUUAUGUUUUACUAACUUAUACUAAGUGACAGAGUGUAUCUGCGAACCAAACUUCGUGUAAGUAUGGAGAACCCAGUUCAUAGAGCAGAAACCUUGAUAAAACUCUUGUUUAACUUAUGUUUUUGUGCGUGCUUUGUGGUUUUUCUGUUCAUUGACUAAGUUGUCCCAGUACGACCUGAACUGAACUGGCAGCAACUGAACCUACUUGGGGUGUCGGUGGCAAUGGUUCUUCGAUGGUUGAGUAAUGAAAGAAUUAUACUCCUACUAGGACUCUACCAGAGAAUUUAAUUUUAGAUUAACUAUUCCAGGAAUAAUAUUAUUUUAAUAUAUUUAAUAUUAAAUUAAAUUUAAUACUUAUUUUAAUAGUAUUUUAUUAAUUUAUUAUUAAAAUAAUUAUCUAAUAUUAAAUUAAAUUAAAUGUUUAUCUUGUAGAUAAAUAUUCUAUUAACUUAAUAAGAUCUAAUAUUAAGGUGAUUAAGUUUAAUCAUAGUUGAACUCUCUAAACUUUUUCACUCUCUAAACUUUUUCUAUAUAAAGAGAGCAUUAGGUUAUCAUUUUUUACACACUUAAAUUUAAGAGAAAUUUGUAGAGAGAAAUUUUCUGAAGAAAUUAUUUUAGAAAAUUUCUAGAAAUAUUUUUCUUAUUUACAACACGGUCCAAAAGUUUUCUAAUUCAAAGUAAUGUUUGUGAAAAGUUUUCUAAUUCAAAGUGAGCCCACACUCGAUAGACGUGAGCUUGAGGAUAACGGAGAAGACUACUCAAUUAAAGUGUUCAUCCUAGACGAAUAAAAAAAGGUACAAUUUGAUUAAGUAUUUAUUAGUUUAGAUAUAACAACCAAGUUCUUGUUUUAGAAAAAAAUUAAAAAACUCUGAUUUUAUCCUAAAUUUAUUUUCUGCUACGUUUUUCAAACCCGGUUUUCCAACAUUGUAGGUGUCCCUUAAUGGUCCAAGGACAUGUCUUUUUCACCAAUCUGAUGGAACUACCCUUUUAUGGUUUCAGCGUAAUCCUUGGAAUGGACUGGUUAAUUGAUCAUAAAUCCAAGAUAGACUUUGAAUCGAAACGAGUCACUUUACGGUAAGGUGAUGGGAUGAAAAUUACUGUGGUUGGAGAGUGAGCCCAAGUUUUUUCUAACAUGGUCUCGACAAUUAGAACUGAGAAGAUGAUGGGAAAAUGUUGUAAAGCCUACUUAGUGUACGUACUAAAUUCAAACUGUAAGAAACUAAGUGUACAUGAUAUUCACACUGUUGUCGAUUUUCUUGAUAUGUUUCCUGAUGAGCUACCUAUUAUACCACCAGAUCGCGAAGUAGAAUUCAACAUUGAGCUUCAUCUUAGAAUUGUGCUAGUGUCAAUUGCGACAUAUCACAUGGAACCAAAAGAUCUUAAGGAGUUAAAGCUCCAAUUACAAGAGCUGCUUGACAGAGGCUUCAUUUGACCUAAUGUUUCUCCUUAGGGCUCGCCAGUCCUAUUUGUAAAAAAGAAAGAUGGUUCACUAAGUCUAUUUAUAGACUACAGAUAGCUUAACAAAAUAACCAUAAAAACAAGUACCCACUGCCUCGAAUCGACGAUCUGUUGACCAACUUCGAAAAGCUACAAUGUUCUCAAAAAUUGAUUUAAGAUCAGGAUACUACCAACUUAAAGUGAAGGAGUUCGGCAUUGAAAAGACAAUGUGUAGGAUUCGAUAUAGGCAUUAUGAGUUCUUGGUUAUGCCCUUUGAUCUCACAAAUGCACCAGUGGCAUUCAUGGACUUGAUGGUUCCAUGAAUUUUUGGAUCAAUUCAUAGUGAUUUUCAUAGAUGAACUUCUAUAGUACUCACAAACCAAAGGAGAGCAUGACAUCCAUCUGCAAGCUGUGUUGUAAGUACUACGGGAAAAACAACUAUAUGAUAAGCUAAGUAAGUGUGAGUUUUGGUUAUGCAAAGUAUCGUUCUUAGGACAUGUGUUCUUAGCAAAAGGAAUUCAUGUAGACCCAAGGAAGAUCGACACAAUUGUAGAGUGGAAGACACCAAAGAGCAUUAUUGAGGUUUGAAGUUUCUUAAGAUUAACUGGAUACUAUCGAUGGCUUGUUGAAGAGUGUGUCAUCCCCUAUACUUUGAUUUUAAUCUUGGUGGUAGGUGCGGUAAGCAUCUCUACCAUCUCACUACUUUCCAGAUUAGGCAUAUUGCCCAAAGAAUAAGGCUCAGCUCGAAACCCUCUACGAUGUCCACCAUGCCCUCGUGUACCAUGACCUCACAUACCACGUGUGCUCAUUUAACUUAUCUAAAGUUCAAAAAUCUUAAAUUUAGCUUAGAUUAUUUUUAAAUCCCAAGUCUAAAGUUUAGUAGAAGCACUUAUCUUAAAGCAAAAAUUAUUUUAUUCUAUAGUCUUUAAAGGUUAGCAAUUUUACUAAAGUAACUAUAGUAAGAGUAAUUAUAGUAAAAAAUUUCUUACUUGGAUUGGCAUUGGAGUCUCAAAUUCUUUUUACGAACUCAAACAUCAAAAUUAAUCCAAAUUUAAAUUUAUUGUUGUUAAAAAUAAUUUUCAUAAAAUAUUACCCAAAAAUAACAGCCUGAGUUUAGAACUUGGCUCUAAUACCACCAAGUAUAACACCCCAAACCCGUCAUAGUCGUUAUGGCGAAAUCUUGAAGGUUACAUUAAUGAGUUGAAACUUGGUCAUUUAUUUUUAAAAUGUAUCUUUUUCCAAACCCGAAAAUAAGAGAUUUUAUAGAAACUUGCCUCAACUCUUUGGUAAGAGAAUUUGCCAAUCAUAAAAAUGUAUAUGUACAAAUUUGAAACAUUUGCUUAAAAAAAUUGAUUUUUAUAAAUUCAUGAUGCUAUCGACUUUAUUUACUUACUUUGAAAAACGCAUAAUCCCGAUUAAAAAUUUGUAGCAGAAAAUUUCUUAUAAUUGUUUAACCUUGAAAAUUGAUUGUUUAAGUUAAAUUAUUAGAAAUUGUGCCAAUUUUAGAAUAACUAAUUAAAAUACUCAACAAAUCCCAAAAACAAAAGUUAAAGUCAGAAAAAUAGUCCAAUAGUCCAUAUGUCCAUAAAAUCUAAAUUUUUUUUUUGAAAGAGUUUAACAUAGAAAAAGUGAAUUGAGCUCCCAAGCAUUGCCAAAUCCUAAGUUUGAGGAUUACCUGAAAUAUAUUUAUCAAACAAUGUGAGAUAUAAAGGUUAGUGUGUGCCUUGGCCCACAAGCUAAAAUCACAAACAGAAUCAUACUUAGAUGCAAAUACAAAAGUAGACAUAUAAAAAAAUUCUACAUGCAUAGCAUGACAUAAUCAAACAGAAUAAUCCUACCUCCAUCAGCUACACACUAACUCCGUCCAACUAAUCACACCAAAUAAGGCUACAAGAACUCAUCCAUCCAUCACAUUAUAAUAUGGUUCUAUGUCACUUAGAUAAUAUGUAGCUAUGUUGCCAGAAUAUAUAUUGUGGGUAUAAUGCCAGAAUCAUGUAAUGCAGUAAAUUUGCCAAAAUCACACUUCAUCACAUCCAUAUAUCCCACCCCAAAUGCACAUGCAAAGUCAUACUAAAAGAUCAUGCAUAAGUAUCAUAACAUGCCAUGCCUACUUAUAAAUAGUCAGAUACAUGUUUUUCAUACAUACGAGAUAAUACGACAUAUCAUACAGGAAAUCUUACUCAGAGUUUAACACCUUUAUUGAGUGAAUGCAAAUUAGAUUUAGAAAACUCACACUCGGCCUGCACAAUGCCCAAUAAAUUGCACAAACUGGGCUCACACGCCAUGUGGCCCACACACCCUACCAUACAAUCUAGCACACAACCAAUUAGAUGCCCGUGUGACCCAUACAACUUGUCAUAUGGCCAAACAGACGACCAUGCGGUGAUAUCUACCAGUUUCAAUUUUUCACAAAAUUUCCAUAUUAUUGACCUUUCAUAGUAUCUACAAGUUUAGAACACACUUGAUUACUGUUGGAAUGUAGGCACCAUACCAACAAUAAUUUUUGCACACAACAUUCACAACUAGACCCAAUUCGCAACCAAUAUUGAAACUGAUAGGUGUCGAAUCCACCAAUAUAAACCUACGCCUUAAAUUGCAAAUUAUGCAGUAUAGGGAGUAGGGUUGAUCCCUCAAAGACUGGUUUACUGUAAAUUGUUGCUCUCUUGACCAGAUUUAUGUUGGGGCAAUUGUCGUGCCCAAGAAAUUCGGGGGGAUAAAAUUUUAAGUCCUGAAAAUAAAUAAAUAAAAUGCGUGAAAAGAAAAAGUUGAAAACAUAAUAAUAAAAACAGUGAAAUAAAUAUUAAGAAAAAUUAAUUAGAAUAAGCUCAACUUUAGGCACGAAUUUUCCUCGUCUUUGAACCGAUCCUCGAAAUUGGAUGAACUCCUCUUUUCCAAUAAGCUAGUUAUAGCUACCAAGGACGCCUCGGAUACCAACUCUUCCUUGUGUAAAUUAGUUAAGGAACGUCCAAUAACUAACCCUUACCAAUCGAACAACCAUGAAACGUUCGUGAUUUAGAACUCCGGCAGCUUUGCGUUCUAGAAGAGCCUAGCUCGAACCAAUGCCCUCAACCGCGUGGGACAUUUACAUCCGGUUACUACUUCCCUUGACGGAACCAAAUAGCAAUCUCCACUUGGCACGCCAAUGUGUUCACAGAAAACUAAUUAGAAACGUUCCUUUCGGAAUUCCAACUGUACGUCUAAUCACACUAAAUCAAACGUCUUUUUUGACUUAGUGUUGACCUGACUUUGUGAGCUGACAAAAUCAUACUCUUAAUCCGGAGAAGUAAUAAGUACUGGAAUUUUAGGAGUUAAAUGACUCAGGUUCGUAACUCACGGGUUUUGACGAGGCUAAUUUCGGCCUAAAACUGAAAAUGGGUUUAGUUGGCUAAGGUUUGGGGCAUGUUGGUUUUGGAAUAAUUAAAUAAGAUUGAAUAAAUGAAAAAAAAUGAAAGUGAGUGGUGAAAGUGACGCAAUGUUGGAAAUUAAUUGCUGGCAAAAACAAAGAAAGAAAAGAUUGAAUUGCAAGAAAUAAAAGCUUAAUUUAAAAACGAAAUGAUUAAAAACUUGAUGGAAAAUUUUAUGAAAAGACUUGAUGAAAAACUUAAAAAGAACUUGCUACAAAACUUGAUAGAAAACUUGGUAAUUAAAACCUUGAUAAAAGAACUAAAUGAAAAAUAUUUGAAGAAAGAAAUAACACUUAAUGAAAGACUUAAUUGAAAGCUUGAUUCAUGAAUUGAUGAAUUGAUGAACAAUGUAGCCUCUAUUUAUACUAGUGGCUUUACUAAAUUAAGAGCCAACUAGUAUAGAAAAUCAAGGAAAAUAUUCUAUAAUAUAAAAAAUAUCCCAAAAUAAUCUCCCACUAAGUCAACAAUUUCAGCUAAUUAUUCUUGGAAAAAUUCUGCUUUGGCCCUCCUUCUUUGCUUCUUUCUUCAAUCUAGUCCAAUUGUUUCCUUUUUCUUCUAUUUAGCCCCAAAUUGCAUUCCUGCACAAAAUUCAAUAAAUAUGGCAAAAUUAAUGGUGCAUUCUCAUAAAUUAACCAAAUUAAUUACAUAAAAUAUGUAACUUUAGCAUUUAAUCAGAAACCAAAACUUGAAUUCCAUAUUUAACACUUAAUAAAACCAACCUCAAAACUAACAUUUGGUCACUUACCCAGAAGAGGAUUGAUUCCACUACAAUCAACUAGAAGAAUGAGUAACCAUUGUAGGAUCCACCGCUAAAAUAAACCCCCAAAAAUAAAGAUCAAUAACGAAGAUUAAAGAAUGACUAAAACCCCUAUCUGUCACAUGGAACCAAAUUAAUUCACCUUAUGAAGAUUAAAGAUUAAAGAAUGCACUUACAAGACUUACACGAAAACGAAAAUAUGAAUUCCUCGCUCAAAACACAACACCACAACCAUAAAAUGCCAGAAAAUGAUAACAGAGAAACAAAAAUAGAGGAACAAAGAUUGAGUUUGCAAUUACAAAAACCAAACAAAAGAGAAAGGGAAAAGAAUAGAUGAAAAAUGAUAGAGAAAAUUUGCAGAAACAAAAAUGACCAAAACAGAAAAUGGGGAGAGGGUGGAAAGAGAGGGACGACUGAAUAAAGAGAGAUUUUAGGGAUAUUUUUUAUAAUUAAAAAAAUAAAUCAGAUAAAAAUACUAUCUAAUCUAAUUAGUAACCACCUAUCAGAUUACUCAACAGUUAAAUUUGACAGAAACUCUGACAAGUAUGGGCGGCAGCAACCGAUAUACAGCAAAAAUUAAUUUCUUUUACACACAACAGAGUUUAAACUUGGGAACUAAGGGUAAACUAAAGCCUUAUUAUUGAACCAGCAGACUCAUUAUUACCAGCAAACUAGCAAGACUAAAAUAUAAGCUACAAGUGAUGAGCCAAAUGAAGAAAUAAAAAUAAUACAAAAUUUGUAAGGAAAGGGAUUCGAAUAUAAAGUCUCAGGCACAUAAACAAAACCAUUAACACAAUAAACUAAAUAAAUUUACUUGUCAUAAUUAAGCGAUUUAAAUCUAAAAAAUUUGGUGCGUUACAAUUUCCUUCAAAAAGGAAGAUUCAAGCCUGCAGGCACACAGAAAACAUCAGCAACGCAAGCUUCCUUAAAAAUACAUGAUAAUUUAGUUUUUAGGGCACACCGUCGAAUAAAGAGUCCAAUACUCAACACCCAACGUCAGCUUUCAAAACGGAUACAUUUAUUCAAGCUGCCAUCUUUAUUUAACUCAAUAAUAUUACGCCAAACCGUGGACAUUUUAUGAGUAUGAUGCAAGGAAGGCAGCCAUGAAAGUUUACCCAAUCCAUAUUUCACUACCAAUAGUUUUCUCCAAAGAGAAUUAUGCUCUGUACUAUAUCUCCACCACCAUUCGGUUAGUAGAGAGCAGAAUUUUUAUCUAUGAGUUUCCCAAUGCCUAAAGCACCACAUCUUUUAGAUUUAACAAUCAACGCCCAUUUCUCAUACAAAAAAGGAAAACCAUCUCCCAUUAAUACAAAUGACAUGUCAUCAUUGUUUCAUACAAUCCUUUACCAUUAAUACAAGUGAUUUAAUUUAAUUAAUAAUAAAAAUUAAAUAACCUAAUUUGAUUAAAUUAAAUAUUGAUGAUGGAUAUGAAAAUUAAUGUAAGUUUAAUGAUUUAAAUUGUAAAUAACUCAUUGGAUAAAUUUACAUUGAGAGUCAAAGCAUAAUUAGACUAUUAGAGAUGAUUAAUUGUCUUCAUACAUUUUGUUUGAAACUUCUAGUUAAUCUUACAAAUUUCCAUGCCUUCAAUCCAUUUUUUGACAUUAUCUAAUGAAAUAAUAUUUUGUUUGAAAUUAAGCAUUACUCCAAUAGUAGAUUUGACCACCAUUAACCAGUUCAAACCAUUUUAUAUUACUACUAUGACCUUUGUGGCCAAUGGUUGCUUCAUUGCUGAUGUUUUGAAUAGUUAUGGAAUACCCAAAACAUUUUGUAUGUAUCCUAUUGUUCAUUCCUUUUUCAAUUUAUUCAAAACUUCGUUUUUUUGUAUAAUACAGCGAUAAGAAGCUUUGUUAAUGACAUAUUAUGUUUAGUUUGCUUUGCCUAUAUAUGGAUUGAAUUAAUUUAGGCUGAUCACUCGCUAAACCUUCCAAUUAUGUCCAUAUUAUUAUGCUAAGUAUUGUUAUGAUACUUGCUAUCAUUGGUCCAAAAUCUAAAGGGGCUUGGGUCGGAUUCUAUUGAGCUCACACGUUGAGCUUGCAGACCAAGCUCGUAGGAUAAUGGAUGUUCACAGGAUAGGUACUUACAUUCUCCUGCGAAAUCAUACGUGAGAUCGUGUAUGAGACCACAUAAAUAUGUGUUAAGUCGAGAGUAGGAUACUUGUUGAUAUGUAUGGAACCUACCUAAAAUGUUAUAUCAAUGAACAGUACAAAUAUCAUAUAAAUACACAAACACCGCUAUCUAAGAGAGAUAGAGAAAACACUCAACAGAAUUUAGGUUUUAACUGGCUCUAAUCAUCACGUGCUUCUCUUUGACAGGUCUUUUCAAUUUCUAUUGAAUAAGUUUAGCUUUCACUUGAAGCUUUCCUUCAAUGAAUAUCUGCUUUUCUUCAUCUUUGAGUUUUGUUUUCCUUCAAUACCGAUUACUGAAUUAUGAGUUUUGUUAAUAGAUUUGGAAAGAAAACUCAUUGAGAUCUUUUUUCUUAUAGUUAUAAAUUAGGAAUUUGGUGGCAAAGUAGAGUUGGAAUGGCAAAGAGUAAUAGGGCUGGGCUAUCUACAGACUUGUUGACGAAGAUUUGUCAUGGUUGCAAUCGCCAUUGGUCACAACUCCAAAUAUAUAGUGUAAGCUUAGCUAAAACACAAAUAUAUUGAGCACAUACAUCAAGCGCAAUGAAGUUUCUUACAACAAAAUGCAUCGGAAAUUUGCUAUCAAGAGAAAUUUCUAAUUAAUUGCUUUUAAUUUUCCACAAAAUGUAAUAUGAAUUUCGAUUAUUAAAUUAAAGAAAUGUUAAAAAGUUCAGUCAAACAAAAUGGGUGCCGUGGACCCUUAAUUAUUUCAUCACGCAUAAAACAAUAUUAAAUAAAUUAUAAAAAAUCUAAAAUUAUAAUAACUAAAGUAAAUUAUACAACAUCUACCCAUUAAUAGGCCUAAAAAAUACGAAAGAUUGAUCACUGUAACACUCCGAAUUUCUUAGAUAUGGAAUGUUAAAUUAUAACAAAUAAUUUAAUUCUGUUUAGUGGAUAAGUGUAGUGAUUAAGUGGGUGAGGUUUUGGGUUUGAGUUUUUUCUUUAGAAUUUUGUUAAUUUUUGGUUCUAUUUCUAUCACUAAUUAUUUGAUUUAAAUCUUAUUUCUAGAUAAAUUAUUAUAGAAUAAAUCUAUUGGUUCAAUGGUUAAGUUUUAACGUAUUCUAGAGUUUAAAUCUUGGUGUGGGCAUAUGAAAUGUUUUUGUUGCUUGUUAUUUGUCAAUAGUUGAGUUCUUUUUUAAUCACAUUGGAUUAUUAUAUAAUUUUUUUUAAGUUAUCAAAAUAAAACAUAUCCCUAAAUUUACUCUAAUUUGCACGUCCAAUUACCCUUCCCUUCUCACGUUCGUUUCUUUUUCUUUUUCUUGUAUUUUCUUCUUUUGUUUUUGUAGCCUCUUUUCCAUUAUUCUUUUCUGCCGUACUUGCUUAAUUUCUGCUAUUCCAUUUUACCCCUUGUAUUCGUGCACGGUGAACGUGGAGUAAGUUUCAUUUAAUAAUUUCUGUUCUUUUCCUUUGAAAUUGUUUCUUGAACAAGAUAGGAGUUGUGCUUAUACCUAAUCUUCUUUCUUAGUUUUGAUAAGCGCUCUUGUGUUUUCGAUUAGGCGAAGGGAGUGAGAAUCUUAUUCCUCCAGCAGAAUAGUUCUCGUCUUUGGUGUUGUUUUUGAGCGGUGAGUAUACGAAUCUCGUUUUAGGGACUGAAUUUUGACCAAAGAAUGUCAAUUUGGGUGGGUCUUUGAUGAUUAAUUAGUAUGAUUUGUUAAUUGAUUGUAGGUUUUAAUCAAUUAUCUCAUCAGGUGUGUAAUUAACCCCAAACAUCAUUUAAAACUCGAGAAAAUUAUAAAAUAGGGGAUGUUUUCGAAACUGCCCAGCGUCACACGGCCGUGUGGAGCACAUGCUCUGUGAAAUAACAUGGACAUGUGGUAGGUCAUGUGGACCAAACGGACUAGCUUUUUGGGCUGUGUGGGAGCUUGUUGGGCCAAUUUUGAGGCCCAAUUAGGGCAGUUUAGGGGACUCAAAAAUUGAGUCUAUGGGCAUUAUGUAGGCCCGAAAAAACAUAAGUUUCAAUUUGCAAACAUAGGUUUGUGUAGAAAGCAUGUUAAGUAAGUCUCGAUAAGUGUAUUAAUGUGAUAUGAUAUGCUUUAUAAAUAUGUACAUUAGAUAUGCAAGCUAUAUGAUUUGUGAGUACCACAUGCUGUGUUAUGUUCCGUAUGAAAAUAUGUGUAUAUGCAUGCCAUACGAUUUAUGUUAUAUGUAUGUAUGAUAUUAUGCCUAUGUUUUGGGGUGGGAUUUGAUAUAAUGAAGGAAGUUUUAUAUGGCAGUAUUUACUGCAACUAUGGUGGCUAGAAUGCAAAUUUCUGUCUAGUAGCUCAGCGGCAUAUUAUGAGUGACAUACCUCCACAUAUUGGUGUGAUGGGAUCGAUGGAUGUACUCUUGCAGUUCUAAUUAGUGUGUUUGGUUAGAUAGAGAUGGUGUGUAGCCAAUAGGGGUAGGAUAUGUUUUGUUAUAUGAUAUGCUUUGAUAUAAAAUCUGGUAUGAUAUGAUAUGUAAUAAGCUAUGCAUCUAUUUGAUUUUGACAUAUACUAUGAUUUGUGGGCCAAAUUACACGCUGGGUGUAAAGCUCACAUGUUUGUUUUGUUUUAGGUAAUCCUUAGGCUUAGGAUUGAAUGGCGACUCUAGAGCUUGGUUUUCACGUUUGGGUUUAGUAUGUUAUGGACUUUCAAUUUUAUGGACUUUUUAUUCGGACUUUUGGACAUUUAAUUUUUUUCUAGGACGUUUAGAAUUUAUUUUGGUAGUUGUUUUGUUAAAGCUUUGGUUUUUAAUCGGAGUUAAAAACAAGACGACUAACAACAAACUAAAGGUAAAUAAGACAAAAUUUCUAUAAUGUGUCGCAGCCAAAUAUUGUCAAAAAUUGCUAGAAUGUUUUAUAUCGCAAACGAUUUAAGUAAAAUAGGUUUGUUUUUAGUAAAACUAUUAAACAUGCUUUUUCCUCGAAGCACUCAUGGGUUUUUGAGAAUUGAUACAUUUUCAAAGAGUUAUUCAAAUCGAUUUUCUUUACGUUGAAAGUGGGGUUUCAUCAAAAUUAAGAAUUAAUGUUUUCAUGUACGAUGUAAUCUCCACAUCCCGACAGUAACGUCUAAGUCGAGUUUGGAGUGUUAUACUGAGCUUGCUCGAGUAGAUACCUUGGGAAAUUAAAAUAAAUUUAAGAAAAUUAUAAUUAAAUUAUAAAAAAAUUUGUUGAAAUGUCAUUAAAUAAUUGAAAAGGGAUAAUGGAUGAUAUGGUGGGAAAUGUCUACAAAAUAAUUUCUCCGACAAAACAUAUUCAUACAUUAUCAUAACACAAUUUGAUCCACUCUUCGGUAAAUUAUACCAACAUAAAAUGUCAUUGCACAAGGGAAAACAAGAAUAAAUAAAGAAUAAUAAAUCUAAACUCAGAGUUUAGUUCAAUUGAUCCAUGUAAUCCUUUUUAAAAUGUUACAUUUAAUAGAUUUGAGAACGGAAUCCUAUAUAAUCAAUACAAACACACAAACCUUAAUUAUACAUGUUUUUUUUCCAUCAAACUACAUACCCAUAGUAGCCCAAUACACAUACAGCUUUCGACCUGGUCCAACUUUCGAUAGUAUGCAUGCCUCCAAGACCUGUUGAAAAACAAGGGAGCCACUACACCCCAAAAUCCUAUUACAAAGCCAAGAACUAUGCUACAUAAAGCCAAUUCACUUUACUUCCUUCACUGCUACUUCCAUUAUUUGCAACAUCAGUUGGAAUACCUUUUGUGUUGCAACUUUUAGUGAGAGGAGGUCCGCAAAGAUGAUUGCCCAUGUAAGAAAAGUUUUCAAAGCUUUGAAGCUGAGUGCUUAUUGGAAUUUGUCCUGUCAAGUUGUUGUAAGACACAUUGAAGUGAUUCAAGAAAUUCAAAUUGGAGAUGCUUGGAGGGAUUUCACCAUUCAAUCGAUUCACGGACAAAUCAAGAGAUUCCAUCAGCUCCAUGUUGCCAAUUUCGUUUGGUAUAUUUCCUGCUAGGAGAUUCGUUGAUAGAUUUAAUGACCGUAGCUCAAUGAGACUUCCAAUUUCAUUUGGAAUCUCUCCCGUGAGACUAUUAGUUGAAAGGUCCAUACUGGUAACAAGCCCUAGUGUGGCACUGUAUUCAUCCUCUUGUCCUUUCAGCACUAAUAAUGCACUCAAAUAAAAGAGAGUAGUUCUGGUACUUACCCACUCAUAAAUAUAGUUACUUUGGUUGCUUCUGUUGGCCAUUGCAGUCAAAUUACUAAAACAUUUUGGAAUAGUGCCUGAAAUGUUGUCAUGGGCAAGGACCAAAUUCUGAAGAUAUUGAAGAUCACAAAUUUUAUGAGGAAUAUGGCCAUCAAAAUUAUUUGAUCGAAGGCUUAGAACCUUAAGUCUUGAGUGCUUGUCUCUAAUCCAUUCUGGUACACUUCCAUUGAAAUGAUUUUCACUAAAAUCAAGCAUAAUCAAACUGGAAUUUUGCAAUGUGGAUGGCAAUGCUCCAAACAUGCUAUUAUUCCGAAGGUUUAGCAUUGAAAGAUUUAUAUGCCCUAAAGAAGGUGGGAUUUUACCGGUCAAACUGUUGCUUCCCAAAUUUAAAUGCCCUAAAUUCUGCCAAUGAUUCUAACAAUCUGGAAUUUCUCCUGAGAUGAGAUUUUUAUCAAUGUAAAGAACUUCCAUCCCUCCCCUACUUGGUGAAUUACAAACUAAUUAAAAAAGAGAUCCUGAAAAUGAAUUAUCUGACAAAAUUAAAAAUUUUAAAGUUGGGAAUACUACUCUUGGCAAUUGGCCUGUGAAUCGGUUUGAACUCAAGUAAACAAUGUAUGUCACAUUCAAAUAUGAAAUCCCUCCACUAAGUUGAUUAUAGGAAAGAUUUAAAUAUUUAAAUGGAAUGGGAAGGUUCAAAAACCAAGUGGGCAUGACAUUAGAAAUUCCUGCAUCAGAGAUAUCUAACACAGACAACUUCUUUUGGAACUUUAACCAUUGGGGAAAUUUUUGGCCAAGAUGCCAAUGACCCAAUUCAAUAAUUCCACAUUGAAAUGGGAGAAUCCAGCUUGAGUUCGGUUCAAAUAUUGUGUGAUGCCUUCAAAGUUGUCAAUCUGGUGGGAUUAGAAAAAUGGGUUUCUAAUACAACUCCUUCCAAUAGAUUAUACCCAAAAUCUAGAGUUUCCAAACUUUCAAGUUGUCCAAAACAUAAAGGAAAAAUACCAUUUAAUUGAUUUUCUGAAACAUCAAAGAACUUCAAAGAUGAUAACUCCCCUAUGGACACAAUUGAAUGGGACCAAAAAUUUUGUUUCGAGCAAGGGACAGGUAAGCUAGAUUUUUAAAUUGGCCAAGUUGAUCAGUUAAAUGACCAGAAAGUUCGUUACCUGCCAUAUCCAAUGACUCUAAGGAACCCAAACAACAUCUAGACAAACUCUGUAGGAUUUCUGAUAUUCCAUCUUCAAUUUUUUUAUAUGACAAAUCCAUCUCCUUCAAUUUGCACAGAUAUUCCAGAGAGGUUGAUAAUCUUCCCUUCAACAUAAAAUUUGAACAAAGAUCAAGGUGAGUAAUAGAGCUCAAGUUUCCAAUGGUUCUCGAGAUUGUUCCUUGUAACUGGUUUUCACCACGACUCAGGAACUGAAGACGGUUUAAACUAUACAAGGAAUUGGGUAUGGAUGAAUUGAGAUGAUUCAAAGUAAGAUCAAGAACUUCAAGAAACGAGAUGUUCCCAAAGUAAUAUGGAAUUGGACCUUCCAAAGAAUUCUCACUAAGAUCAAAGGACAUAAGACUAUGAAGACUAAAUAUCGACUUCGGUACUGAAGAAAAGCCGUUCCCAGAAAGAUCAAGAAUAACCAGUGAUUUUGUAGAAUUAACACUAACCGGAGAUGGAUCAUCUUCUAAACAACAAUUUGACAAGCGCAACUUUAACAAAGAAGGAUGUUUGAAUGUUACCUGUAGCCAAUCAUUUGCUUUAGAAAGAUCCGCACCACUCAAAUCAAGGUACUGCAAGGAAGAAAGUCCAGAAACCCAUUGAAAACUUUUUGGUUUGAGAUAAUUACCUCCAAGAUCAAGAUAAUGCAACUUUGAGAGAUUCCCAAGGUUAUGAGGAAUUCCUUUCGGGAAUCCAGCUUGAGAGGUUAAGAUGUGUUCAACUCCCCAGCAUACCAAAAAAUUUCAGGAUAUAUAUGCUGCUAAAAUUGUUAUAGCUCAAGUCCAGGGAACUGAGAUGCUUCAACUCCAGCAGUGAAGGAUUUAUUUUGCCUCCUAGAUUUGACCGCUCGUAAGCUUCCCAUUCAAAACAUGGUGCAAAUUCAUCAGGCUCUGAAAGAGUAGGAGCCAAGUUCAGUUGGUGGACUUGGCCUGUUGAGUUAUGGCAGACGACACCAAUCCAUUCACAGCAAUCCCCACCUUCAACCCAUGAAGAUAGCCUGUUUGAAGGAUCAAUAAGAUGAUUCUUGAAUUUCAAAAGACCUUCUCUCUCACUUUGAAUGCAACGUGCGUUGGAAUUGGCAUCACAAAUGGUAAAACAGAUAGCGGCAUUGAGAAGAAGAAAAGGGAAUAAGGAAAUUGGAAGAGGAGCUGUCAUGGUUGCAAUUGCCAUUGCUCACAACUCCAAAUAUAUUGAGUAAGCUUAGCAAAAACACAAAAUCAUACAUGAAGCGCAAGGAAGUUUCUUCAAACAAAAUGCAUCGGAAAUUUGCCAUCAAGGAAAUCUCUAAUUGAUUGCAUUUAAUUUUCCACAAAAUGUAAUAUGAAUUUCGAUUAUUAAAUUAAAGAAAUGUUAUAAAGUUCAGUUAAACAAAAUGGAUGCCGUGGUCCCUUAAUUAUAUCUUCAUGCAUAAAACAAUAUUAAAUAAAUUAAGAAACUAAAAAAAAAUUAAAGAAAAUUAUAAGAAAAUUUUAUCUAAAAAAAAUUAAAGAAAAUUAUAAGAAAAUUUUAUCUAUUUUUAUUUUUAAAUUUUAAAGAGCUUACUUUUUUUAUAUAUUUUUUUGAAAAUCUUUAAAAUUUUAAAUUUCUAAAUUUUAUAUAUUUUUUUAAUUUUUUAAAAUAUUUUAGAUUUUUUAAAUUUUUAAAAAGUGGCAUAUAAAAUAAAAUAAUGUUAAUGUAAACAAAAAUAUUGUCCACGUACAUUAGGGGCAAGGGAUGUUAUCAAAAUUUUCCACAAAAUGUAAUAUGAAACUCGAUUAUUAAAUUUCAGUCAAACAAAAUGGAUAUGAUGAAGGAAGACAUGGAAUUUGAAUAACAUUAUUUUUCUCUAUGUUUGGGUAUCAUUAAGCCAAAAUUUGAAAACGAUUAUUGAAAAUAAUGAUUUUUUUCUUGCCCUCAAACAUUUACUGAAAAUAAAUCAAUUUAUCUUUUACUCUCCUUUAUUUAACUCUUAAAUAUGUUUUUAAAGACAACCAUAAAACUUAUAUAUAUAUAUAUAUAUAUAUAUAUAUAUUAGCAUAUUUUUCAAAUUUCGUGUUAAGUUUUAUUUGCUUGUAUCAAAUUAUAAAGUAAAAUUUUGAAGGUUAAAAUAUGCUCUAUGUGCUUUAAAUUUGGAUGGUAGUUUUGUACUUUUAUUUUUAAAAAUUUAAUCCAUUUUUAAAUUUAAAAUCUCAAGUCCAAUAAUUAUUGCCAUUAAAUUAUUCUAUUAAAUUUAAUGGUGUGACGUUUAAACUUUAAAAAAAUACAUCCACUUAAUAGUUCUAUAACAAUAAUAUUGAAAAUUCUAAUUAAUAUAUUUUUUUUCUUAAAAGACACUAGUUUGAACUCAACUAAGUCUAUGGAAUAAAUCCCACUCCUGCUGUUUACUUGCUAUUUAAAAGAAAUUGAUACAUCAAAAUAGCUUUCAAAGCAUUUUCAUUUAGGAAAAUUCGACGUUAAACUUGAUAACGCCACAAGGAGGAGUUAUCAAAUCUAGCAGUUAACCAAAUUUAUGGACAUUUAAUCGAUCAACUUGGCAAUUUAAAAAUCUAGCUUACUUGGCCCUUGCUCAAAACAAAGUUUAUGGUCCCAUUCCGUUGUCGAUAGGGGAGUUAUCAUCUUUGAAGUUCUUUGUUGUUUCAGAAAAUCAAUUGAAUUGUACUUUUCCUCUAUGAUUGGGACAACUGGCAAACUUAGAAACUCUAAAAUUUGGGCAUAAUCUAUUGGAAGGAGUUGUAUUAGAAACCCACUUUUUUAAUUUCACGAGAUUGAUAACUUUGAAAGCAUCAAAGAACAUGUUGAGAUUUGAACCAAACUCAAGUUGGAUUCCCCCAUUUCAAUGUGGAAGUGUUGAAUUGGGUGAUUGGUAUCUUGGCCUAAAGUUUCCCCAAUGGUUAAAGUUGUAUCAUUUAGAUAUCUCCUAUGCAGGAAUUUCAGAUGUCAAGCCCACUUGGUUUUUGAACCUUUCCACUCAAUUUGAAUAUGCAAAUCUUUCCUCUAAUCAACUUAGAGGAGAGAUUUCAUAUUUGAUGUGAAAAUAUUGUUGACUUGAGUUCAAACCAAUUCACAGGUCUACUGCCGAGAGUAUUCCCGACAUUAGAUUUUUUAGUUUUGUCAAAUAACUCAUUUUCAGGAUCCCUUUCUGAUUUAGUUUGUAACUCAUCGGGAGAGGGAUGGAUGAGAUCUCUUUACAUUGAUGCAAAUCUUCUUUCUGGGGAAAUUCCAGAUUGUUGGAAUCAUCGGUUUUUGAAUUAUUUAGAUUUGGCGAACAACAAUUUGACUGGAAAAAUCCCACCUUUGUUACAUAAAGAUCUUAGACUGCUCAACCAUCGAAAAAAUAGCAUGUUUGGAGAAUUACCCUCCACAUUGUGAAAUUCUACGAGUUUGUUUAUUCUUGAUCUUAAUGAAAAUUAUUUCAGUGAAAGUGUACCAGUAUGGAUUGGUGAUAAGCUCUCAAAACUUAUGGGUCUAUGCCUUCGAUCUAAUAACUUCAAUGGCCAUAUUCCUCAUAACAUUUGUGAUCUUCUAUCUUUCAAAACUUGGACCUUGCCCAUAACAACAUUUCAGGGGUUAUUCCACCAUGUUUCAGAAAUUUAACUGCAAUGGCCACAAAAACCAAAAUCAAUAGUGAACUUAUUUCGUGGCCAAUCCUUGGCCAUUCAUUAAUUUUAGAGCAUUAUUGGUGAUGAAAGGGCGAGAAGAUGAAUAUGAGACCACACAAGGACUUGUUACUAGCAUGACCUUUCUGCUAACAGUCUCACAGGAGAGAUCUCCAAAGAAAUUGCAAGUCUCAUUGGGCUGUGAUCAUUAAAUUUGUCAGGGAGGCGACAUGGAGUUAAUAGAAUCUCUUGAUUUUCUGAUGAAUCAAUUGAAUGGUGAAAUCCCUCGAAGUUUUUGAAUUUCUUGAAUCACUUCAAUGUCUCCUACAACAACUUGAUAGAAUAAAUCUCAACAAGCACUCAACUUCAAAGCUUUGAAAACUUGUCUUAGGUGGGCAAUGAUAUUUGUGGACCUCUUCUCACUAAGAACUGCACCACAAAAGGUUUUUCAACUGAUGUUACAAAUAAUGGAGAUAGCAAUAAAAGAAGUAAAGUGAAUUGGCUUUAUGUCAGCAUAAUUCUUGGCUUUGUAAUGGGAUUUUGGGGUGUGGUGGCUCCCUUGUUUUUAAUCAGAACUUGGAGGUAUGCAUAUUAUCAAAAGUUGGAUCAUGUUGGUCGGAAGUUGUGUCUUGAGCUACUAUGGGUACGUAAUUUGAUGAAAAAAAAACAUGUAUAAUUAAGAUUUGUGUUUUAUAAUUGAUUAUAUAAUCUUCAGAUCUCAGAUCUAGGAACUAAUAAUUUUGAGUUUAGAUUUUAGUACUCAGUACAUGAUUGGUGUUUUUCCUUUUGCAAUAAUUAAUGUCAUUUCAAGCUUGUAUAAUUUAAUGAAAGUGUGUUUUGACAAUGAAUGAUUAGGUUAAAGAGUGCAAUAGGGUAAAUUUUUACUAACUUUUGUCCAGCUGAUUAACUUCAACAAUAUACAAAUCCAUCAUAUCUUGUUAACUUUAUCUGUUUCUAGAAACUUUUGUGAGGAAUUCAAAAAAUCAUGCUCGCCUCUCAUUUAGUAAAUUUCUUCUCUCUUUUUUUCCCUAGGGUGUCAAAAACCUUUUUUUAAACGAUUUAUAUUUCGAAAACGAAAAUGGGAGUCACCACCAAUCUCUUUUAUGAGGUGUGAUUGGAUCACCUCGUAAUUUGAUUGUUUUAAUAAAAAGGCUUGAUCCACUAAAACAAUGAUUUUUGGUCUACAAAAUUCAGGAAAUGGGUUUGGGAGUCGGUUAUGCACGAGGAAGGAUUAGCACCCUCAUUACGCCCAAAAUUGGUACCUAAUUGAUUACUUGAUGUCUUAAUGUCGAAAAUUGAAAAUUUUAAGAGAAUUUAAAAUGUGAUCCCUUCGUAUUAAGAUAUUUUAAUAGAAAGGGUUUUAUUCUGAAUUAAUCGAGAAGAAGGAUCAUGUCCCGUCAAUUAGGACAUGACACCUUUAGUUUUCGAAAAUCAAAAUACUCGCUGUGUAAAUCGUUACUUAAAUGGAUAUUCGACUAUUUCAGUUUUAGAAAGAAGCCAUACUCCAUAAGUUUGGAGCACGACUUUUCUAAUUUCAAAAACAAUGAACAUUGCCACGAUUUGAAAAUUUUACCUUUUUUGUGCAACGUGCAAAAAAAACAAACGUAAUACUUAAAACGAUAUGCAUUUUACUUAUUCGGGCAUAAUAUACACGUGGAUAAAUGCUUAAAUUUAACGUAUGAUAUGGUGAUAGCGAAAUAAUAUAAGAUUGCCUAUGUGGGUAGAUAACAAAACAAAUAAAGUAACUUAUUUGAAAAUAAAAAAUAAAAAAUAAAAUGAAAGGGAAGUAUAAGUAAUAUCAAAUUUAAAUAUUUAAAAUAUAAAAGAAUAAUAAAUAAAUAGGAAAAAAUUAGAAAUAUAAUAUUAAAUAAAUAGGCAAAACAAAUAAUGUUAAAUUUAAGUAUUUAAAAAGUAAAAGAAUAAAUAAAUAAAUAAAUAAAUAAGUAAUAUUAAAUUUAAGUAUAUGAGAAAUAUACUUAAAAAUAAAAAAUAAUAAUGACAAUAUACAUAAAUGAAAAGAAUAUAAACAAUAUUUUUUUAAAUAUAUGAGAAAGAAUAAAGAAAGAAUAAAUAAAUAAGUAGAUAAAUAUAAAAGAAAACAAUUUAAUAAAGAUUAAAAAUAAAGGACUAAAUCGAAAUUUAAAUGAAAUUAAGGGCAUAAAUUAGAAAAAGAAAAAGAAAUAUAUAAAUAAAUAGGCUAAUAAGGACUCAAAUGGAACACGCUAAAAGAGACAGGGACCGAGUGGGAAAAUAUCCCAAACUUUCCUAUGCGCAUCAUUUAAAAGGACCAAAAUAAAAAAAUUUAAAAUUUAAGGGGAUAAAUUAAAAAGAAAAAAAGAAAUAGGACUAUAUUGAAAAAUUCUUAAAAAGUAGAAGGACAAAAAGCGCAAAUAUCCCCCUUUUUAAAAAAAGCCAGAUCUUGAGGCCGGUCGGGUCGAUAAUUGUGUCGAUCUUCAAAACGACGUCGUUUUGGCGUCUGUGACUUAAGCCCAAAAUUACGUCGUUUUGAAGGGCUAUAUAAGUGAAAAAAUUAAUUAAAAAAUCACUUUUGUCUGUUAAAAAAAACUUUUCAGCCUUUUUUUUCUCUCAGUCUUCCCCACUCCGGCCACGGCACUUGCGAGCUUCUGCCGACGGCCAUUGGUCGCUAAUGACUGCUCUGCCAUUCCCAGUGGCCGAAAAACCUAAAAUGCCCCUUUUGCUUAUAUUUUUUGUAGAACUCCGAUUUGGAGUUAAAACUACCAAAAUCAAAGCCAAAGUUCCAGAAAAAUGAGAAGACUCCUCGGCUCCAGUGGCAGAAAACAACCACCAAGUGAGAUUUUUUUUCUUUUCUUUAUAUUUUAUCUUUUUAUAUAUAUAAAAAUACAUUCAAAGAAAAAAGGAAAAGAAAAAAGAUCACCUUUGAAUUUUUUUCGAUUGCUUUGUUUUUUUUUUAUUUCUAUUUUUUUGAUGAAAAAAAACCACAUACAAUCGAUUUUUGUAAGCUUUUUAUAGCCAAAUUACAACAUUAUUUUUCUAUUUUUUUCUACUGUUUGCUACUGUUCUUGCAUGUUUUUUGCAAGGGUAGUUGACGAAGCAAUUGGUGGCAGGUGCUAGGAGCGGCGGGCAAAGGCUAGGGUGCGCUAGGGUUUUUGUUGUUUUUUUUUUCUUGAAAAUUGUUUAGUUUGUUGGGCCAUUGGGCCUUUAAUUAGACUUCAAACUUUUCAUUAUUGACGUGACAUUAAUUUAUAUUUAUGUCACAUUUACAAAUAAUUUUAAAACUAUAAAAAAAUAUUCAAUAAAUUAUAAACUUGACAAGGAAGUUGGACAAAGUCUAUGGAGUAACUUCAAGUCCCAUGAUAUGACCUGCCAAUUAAGAUUUUUUAGGUCUUUAAAAUGAAAAGAAAGGAAAAUGAAAAUUUUAGAAAACAUAUAAUUUGAUUAAGAUUUUUAUUUUUACAUUUAUAUUUUGGUUAAAUCAAAUCAAAUUUUAAUUUAUAAUUGACUAAAAUUAUGCAAAUUGUUCAACAAGCUCAUGCCCGAAGUCAGUGAGGAUCUAAAUAAACGUAUCAAGGAACUACCUAUAUUAGCACAUUUAGUGAUGUGAUCUGCAACACCAAGAGUUUUUGGGAUAUGUCGGAUACGAAUCUCCCAUUUCCAACGCAAUACUUGAUGUAACAGCCACAGUUCCACUAAAUUACUACUAGCUCCUUCACCAGACAAAAACAAUUCAACCAACAAAGCAUUAUCACACUCAACUUCAACUUUCCGAAAUCCUUUAUCCCAAGCUAAGAAUAAUACUUCCAACAUUGCUCUUGUUUCAACUUUAAAGACUGACUCAUAUUUAAUUUUUUUUAAAUGUUUAUAUUGUGAAUUGUGGGUAAUAUUUUUAUAUUUGUGUGCUCAUAUUACAUUUCAUUUUCAUAAGAUUAUGAAGGAUAUUGAAGUUUUAGUUACAUUCUAAUACGAAUUUCAAUCAUCCAAUUGAAUUUGCUACUUUCUUUCUCUACCUAACGUGGAAUUUAGCAAGCUUUAAAAUUCCUCAAGUAGCGUUGAUGAAGUCAAGUCAACAAAGUCUAUGGAGUAAGUCUCACUCCCUCGGCAUGCUCUGUUUACUCGCUGAUAUUUUCUUCAUUAUAUACAGUAAGCAAAGAAGAAAAACCAUCACUAAUAUCUUUUCAAUUUAAUAGCUUUCAUACCAUUUUCAUUAAUAAAUAUUAUCUUUUACUCCGUUGAUUGUGCUUCACUGAAUUUUUCAAUAAAUAUGAUUGAUGGGGUUUUUUAAAGGUAAAUUUCAGAUAUAGGAAGGAAAAGGAAAAAGAAAAAGAAUGGCAAUGUUGGGCAUGAACAAAGGAAAGAAGAUGGAGAGAUCAAAUUCAUCACAAAGCUACAAACAACUCUAAAAAUAAAAUAUUAUUAAAUAUGUUAUUGAGGUUUAUUAUUAAGUAAAAAAAGCAAUGAUUAAAGUUAGGGGUGAAGCCAAAACAACUUUUCAGAGGGGCCGAAUGAAAUUUUAAUUUUUUAUAGUCUAUAUCUUUAUAACUUUUAAAAGAGUAAAUCGAAUUUUUAUAAUUUUAGGGGGUCAAAAUGUAAUUUUACAUUUAUUAAUUUAAAAUUUUAAAAAAAUUAAGGACUUAAAUAGUAAUUUUAUAUUUUAAGGGGGCCGUGCCCUUGCCAGCUGCCUAGAUUCGCCGCUGAUUAAAAUUCUUGUCAGAUGUUUAUUUGGUACGGAUUCAAACCAUAUUUUCCUUAUCCCUUACCUUUAAUAUUAUAAUAAAAAAAAACCUAUUGCAGCGUCAAAUUUUCUUCCAUGUCUUAAUGAAUUAGUUAAUCAAAUUUUACUCAUAUUCGUUUAGAUUUUGCUAAUCAAAAUUAAUUAUUGUUUUAAAUGGUUAAAUAUAAACACAUUAUAAUUGUCGGAACUAUAAAAAUGCUAACAGGUUACGAUAUAUUUUAUUUUUUUAUGUUUAUUAAAUGCACCUUAUUGUACUCUUUAACCCAACAACAUUUUCAUUAUUGACAUACAAUUAAACACAAUCACACAUCAUGAAAGCUCUAAGUUCAAAAAAUUGAACAAGCUUGAAAUGCUAUUCAGUUUUGCAAAAGGGUCUAAACUCGAAGUCAAGAUCGAUUGAUUCAUGUAAUCCCUUUUAAAAUAUAGCAUUUAAUAGAUUUGAGAUCGAAAUCCUAUAUAAUCAAUUACAUACACAAACUUUAUUUAUACAUAUUUUGUUUUUCAUCAAACUAUAUACCCAUAGUAGCCCAAAACACAUAUAGUUUACCAUAGACAUUGUCCAGCUUUCGAUAGUAUGCAUGCCUCCAAGACCUGAUGAAAAACAAGGGAGCCACUACACCCCAAAAUCCCAUUACAAAGCCAAGAACUAUGCUGACAUAAAGCCAAUUCACUUUACUUCCUUCACUGUUACUUCCAUUAUUUGCUACAUCAGUUGAAAAACCUUUUGAGGAGCAAUUUUUAGUGAGAGGAGGUCCGCAAAGAUGAUUGCCCACGUAAGACAAGCUUUCAAAGCUUUGAAGCUGAGUGCUUGUUGGGAUUUGCCCUAUCAAGUUGUUGUAAGACACAUUGAAGUGAUUCAAGAAAUUCAAUUUGGAAAAACUUGGAGGGAUUUCACCAUUCAAUUGAUUCCUCGACAAAUCAAGAGAUUCCAUCAACUUCAUGUUGCCAAUUUCGUCCGGUAUAUUUCCUAUUAGGAGAUUCCCUGAUAGAUUUAAUGACCGUAGCUCAACGAGACUUCCAAGUUCUUUUGGGAUCUCUCCAAUUAGUCUAUUAGUUGAAAGGCACAUGCUCGUAACAAGCCCUAGUGUGGCACCGUAUUCGUCCUCUCGUCCUUUCAGCACCAAUAAUGCACUCAAAUAAAGGAAAUUAGUACUGAUACUCGACCACUGAAACAUAUAGCAGUGCUGGUUGCUUUUGUUAGCCAUUGCACUAAAAUUACUAAAACAUUUUGGAAUAGCUCCUGAAAUGUUGUUAUGGCCAAGGUCCAAGAUCCGAAGAGAUUGAAGUUGACAAAUUUUUUGAGGAAGGUGGCCAUCAAAGUUAUUCGAUCGAAGGCUUAGAAUCUCAAGUUUUGAGAGCUUGUCCCCAAUCCAUGUUGGUACACUUCCACUGAAAUGAUUGUCACUAAGAUCAAGCAUAAUCAACCUCGUAGAAUGUUGCAACGUAGAUGGUAAUUCUCCAGACAUGCCAUUGCUACGAAGGUUUAGCACUAAAAGAUUUAAAUGUCCCAAAGAAGGUGGGAUUUUUCCGGUCAAUUUGUUGUUUUCCAAAUUCAAGUAACCCAAACCUCGCCAAUGAUCCCAGCAAUCUGGGAUUUCUCCGGAGAGAAGAUUUGUUUCAAUGGCAAGAAUUCUCAUUGGUCCCUUUCUUAAUGAAUAACAAACUAAUUCAACAAGCCGGCCUGAAAAUGAAUUAUUUGACAAAAUUAAAAUUUGUAAAGUUGUGAAUACUCUUGGUAAUGGGCCUGUGAAUCGGUUUGAACUCAAGUCAACAAUUUCUGUCACGUUCAAAUAUGAAAUCCCUCCAGUAAGUUGAUUACAGGAAAGAUUUACAUAUUCAAAUUGAGUGGACAAGUUCAAAAGCCAAGUGGGCAAGAUAUCCGAAAUUCCUGCAUCCGAGAUAUCUAAAACAGAUAAAUUCUUUUGGAAUUUUAACCAUCGAGGAAACUUCGGGCCAAGAUGCCAUUGCCCCAAUCUGAUAAUUCGGCAUUGAAACGGGGGAAUCCAGCUUGAGUUUGGUUCAAAUCUCAGCCUGUUCUGUGAUGCCGCUAGAGUUGUCAAUCUCCUGAGAUUAGAAAAAUGGGUUUCCGACACAACUCCUUCCAAUUGGUUACACCCCAAAUCCAGAGUUUCCAAACUUUUCAGUUGGCCAAAACAUAGAGGAAAAGUACCAUUUAAUUGAUUUUCUGAAACAUUAAACAACUUCAAAGAUGAUAACUCCCCUAUGGACAAUGGAAUGGGACCAGAAAUAUUGUUUCCAGCAAGCGACAAGUGAGCUAGGUUUUUAAAAUGCCCAAG